CGUGUAGGCGGGAAGGAAAGUCAGAUGUGAAAUCCCCAGGCUCAACCUGGGAACUGCAUUUGAAACUCCCUUUCUUGAGUAUCGGAGAGGAAAGCGGAAUUCCUGGUGUAGAGGUGAAAUUCGUAGAUAUCAGGAGGAACACCAGCGGCGAAGGCGGCUUUCUGGACGGUAACUGACGCUGAGACGCGAAAGCGUGGGGAAGCAAACA
RNAcentral lists this ribosomal RNA (208 nucleotides) under uncultured bacterium. RNAcentral's name for it is "partial 16S ribosomal RNA". It matches the Rfam family "Bacterial small subunit ribosomal RNA", at positions 568 to 774 of the family's 1533-position model. The record is from RNAcentral.